ACGGCCGUACCAUGCUGAAUAUACCGGUUCUCGUUAGAUCACCGAAGUUAAGCAUCAUUGGGCACGGUCAGUACGCCAGAGCGCUGACCACCUGGG
Molecule: ribosomal RNA, 96 nt
Filed under: Caerostris darwini
Lineage: Eukaryota; Metazoa; Arthropoda; Arachnida; Araneae; Araneidae
Source: RNAcentral